RNAcentral lists this long non-coding RNA (520 nucleotides) under Phoenix dactylifera (date palm). RNAcentral describes it as "long non-coding RNA (PDAC_LNC022625)". Lineage: Eukaryota; Viridiplantae; Streptophyta; Magnoliopsida; Arecales; Arecaceae. The record is from RNAcentral.
CAGAUUGGUACCGAUGAAUUUUGAAUUUUUUCUGGAAGUUGUUAGUUUCAGCACAUGUCGGCACCCACUACACUGGUAUUUAAAAUCUUGUUCAGGGCCAUUUCAUUUGCUUGAGGGAUCUACAUAUCACCACACAACUAAAAGAAAGGGAUUCAACAAGUUGAUACCAGCUGUUCAUAAAAUCAAGAUCUGAAAAGGCUAUAGUUUUCGUUUUCUGUUCACAUCUUAGUAACCAUGGAUUUUGAUCAAACACACUUCCACGUAUCCAUAAUUGCUCAACUAAUGAUUCAUCAUGUGGACACAGAAUAUUUUCAGUUUGUUUGUUGUUAAAGCGAUAAUAAAUGGUUCAUCAUCAUCUCUUGACCAUCAUACAACAUGAAGGCCUCGUAUGCUGCUUCUUUACAUCUGCAUUCCUUUAGGAUGGAUAAAUUACUGGUAAUGGAUGGUUUUCAAGGCAUGUAACUUCUGCUAUAUGAUUACAUGUUUAGGAGGCCCAUGUACCUUCUUAUGGUAGGAGCCC